Molecule: small nuclear RNA, 106 nt
Filed under: Balaenoptera musculus (blue whale)
Lineage: Eukaryota; Metazoa; Chordata; Mammalia; Artiodactyla; Balaenopteridae
Source: RNAcentral
GUGCUUGCUUCAACAGCACAUAUACUAAAAUUGGAACGAUACCAAGAAGAUUAGCAUGGUCCCUGCGCAAGGUUGACACGCAAUAAAUGAGGAGUUUGAGAUUAAC